AACAAUUUAGAUCUUUAAGGUGCUUGGUGUCAUGCCGUUAGGUAUUGAAGUCCAAGAUAAUAGGGAAAUGGGUGAAAAUCCCAUACGGUCUCGCCGCUGUGAAGGAAGAAUCAUAUCUUGAAUAUCACUGUGUAAAAUUACAUGGGAAGAUGAGAUAUGGUGUUGACGCCUGAGUCAGAAGACCUGCCUUAAGAUAGUUUUUACA
This 205-nucleotide non-coding RNA is filed under the name Lachnoclostridium phytofermentans. The record is from RNAcentral. Lineage: Bacteria; Bacillati; Bacillota; Clostridia; Lachnospirales; Lachnospiraceae. RNAcentral also lists the same sequence under 1 other name.